GACGAACGCUGGCGGCGUGCUUAACACAUGCAAGUCGAACGGAAAGGCCCUGCUUUUGUUGGGUUCUCGAGUGGCGAACGGGUGAGUAACACGUGAGUAACCUGCCCUUGACUUUGUGAUAACUUCAGGAAACUGGGGCUAAUACCGGAUAGGAGCUCCUGCUGCAUGGUGUGGGUUGGAAAGUUUCGGCGGUUGGGGAUGGACUCGCGGCUUAUCAGCUUGUUGGUGGGGUAGUGGCUUACCAAGGCUUUGACGGGUAGCCGGCCUGAGAGGGUGACCGGCCACAUUGGGACUGAGAUACGGCCCAGACUCCUACGGGAGGCAGCAGUGGGGAAUAUUGCACAAUGGGCGGAAGCCUGAUGCAGCAACGCCGCGUGCGGGAUGACGGCCUUCGGGUUGUAAACCGCUUUCGCCUGUGACGAAGCGUGAGUGACGGUAAUGGGUAAAGAAGCACCGGCUAACUACGUG
Molecule: ribosomal RNA, 468 nt
Filed under: uncultured bacterium
Lineage: Bacteria
Description: partial 16S ribosomal RNA
Rfam family: Bacterial small subunit ribosomal RNA
Source: RNAcentral